This 301-nucleotide ribosomal RNA is filed under the name uncultured bacterium. Its description in RNAcentral is "partial 16S ribosomal RNA". It matches the Rfam family "Bacterial small subunit ribosomal RNA", at positions 509 to 809 of the family's 1533-position model. The record is from RNAcentral.
CAGCAGCCACGGUAAUACGGAGGGGGCUAGCGUUGUUCGGAAUUACUGGGCGUAAAGCGCACGUAGGCGGUCAUUCAAGUCAGAGGUGAAAGCCCGGAGCUCAACUCCGGAAUUGCCUUUGAAACUAGGUGACUUGAACACGGGAGAGGUGAGUGGAAUUCCGAGUGUAGAGGUGAAAUUCGUAGAUAUUCGGAAGAACGCCAGUGGCGAAGGCGGCUUACUGGCUCAUUCUAGACGCUGAGGUGCGAAAGCGUGGGGAGCAAACAGGAUUAGAUACCCCCGUAGUCCCUGUCUCUUAUAA